This 211-nucleotide ribosomal RNA is filed under the name uncultured bacterium. RNAcentral's name for it is "partial 16S ribosomal RNA". It matches the Rfam family "Bacterial small subunit ribosomal RNA", at positions 1290 to 1500 of the family's 1533-position model. The record is from RNAcentral.
AGUUCGGAUUGUAGUCUGCAACUCGACUACAUGAAGCUGGAAUCGCUAGUAAUCGCGAAUCAGAAUGUCGCGGUGAAUACGUUCCCGGGUCUUGUACACACCGCCCGUCACACCAUGGGAGUUGGGAAUGCCCGAAGCCGGUGACCUAACCGAAAGGGAGGAGCCGUCGAAGGCAGGCUUGAUAACUGGGGUGAAGUCGUAACAAGGUAAC